UACGGAGGGAGCUAGCGUUGUUCGGAAUUACUGGGCGUAAAGCGCGCGUAGGCGGCUUUGUAAGUUAGAGGUGAAAGCCCGGGGCUCAACUCCGGAACUGCCUUUAAGACUGCAUCGCUUGAAUCCGGGAGAGGUGAGUGGAAUUCCGAGUGUAGAGGUGAAAUUCGUAGAUAUUCGCAAGAACACCAGUGGCGAAGGCGGCUCACUGGCCCGAUACUGACGCUGAG
Molecule: ribosomal RNA, 227 nt
Filed under: uncultured bacterium
Lineage: Bacteria
Description: partial 16S ribosomal RNA
Rfam family: Bacterial small subunit ribosomal RNA
Source: RNAcentral